RNAcentral lists this unclassified non-coding RNA (212 nucleotides) under Hevea brasiliensis (rubber tree). Lineage: Eukaryota; Viridiplantae; Streptophyta; Magnoliopsida; Malpighiales; Euphorbiaceae. The record is from RNAcentral.
GCAAAAGUGAGCAAAAACAAAUAUAGGUUUUAAAAUUAUGCUCAAAUAAAAUUGCUUGUUUUCACUUAAAUGAAAAGCAGUUGAGACUCAUAAACUUUUUAAUUUUAUCAAUUAUUGGUUAAGAAAUUUGAGUCUUCGUUGCUCAUGGAGGUUCAAAUUGUAGAUGAGAAUAUAUGAAAUCUCUCAAGUAUAACUAAGAAUUAAUAACAACU